RNAcentral lists this long non-coding RNA (203 nucleotides) under Musa acuminata (dwarf banana). RNAcentral describes it as "long non-coding RNA (MACU_LNC003310)". The record is from RNAcentral. Lineage: Eukaryota; Viridiplantae; Streptophyta; Magnoliopsida; Zingiberales; Musaceae.
GGCAUGUUUGUCUGAGAAGGGUAAUGAUAGCAGUAAUACCUCAAUCUAUCGAGUCUUGAUUACUAUUAGGCUUUAGGGUUCUUCGGAAGACUAGAAUGAAGCUUAUUAAUAUAACCAUUAGCUCAGGCUUAACAUGUUGAUUUGUAGAGUUGUGGUUUCCUUCCAAAAUCUUAUUGUGGCGCCUGUACUUAAUCAAAUCUUCG